This 486-nucleotide ribosomal RNA is filed under the name uncultured Actinomycetes bacterium. Its description in RNAcentral is "bacterial SSU rRNA". It matches the Rfam family "Bacterial small subunit ribosomal RNA", at positions 342 to 837 of the family's 1533-position model. Lineage: Bacteria; Bacillati; Actinomycetota; Actinomycetes. The record is from RNAcentral.
CGGGGGGCAGCAGUGGGGAAUAUUGCACAAUGGGCGGAAGCCUGAUGCAGCAACGCCGCGUGCGGGAUGACGGCCUUCGGGUUGUAAACCGCUUUCGCCUGUGACGAAGCGUGAGUGACGGUAAUGGGUAAAGAAGCACCGGCUAACUACGUGCCAGCAGCCGCGGUGAUACGUAGGGUGCGAGCGUUGUCCGGAUUUAUUGGGCGUAAAGGGCUCGUAGGUGGUUGAUCGCGUCGGAAGUGUAAUCUUGGGGCUUAACCCUGAGCGUGCUUUCGAUACGGGUUGACUUGAGGAAGGUAGGGGAGAAUGGAAUUCCUGGUGGAGCGGUGGAAUGCGCAGAUAUCAGGAGGAACACCAGUGGCGAAGGCGGUUCUCUGGGCCUUUCCUGACGCUGAGGAGCGAAAGCGUGGGGAGCGAACAGGCUUAGAUACCCUGGUAGUCCACGCUGUAAACGGUGGGUAGCUAGGUGUGGGGUCCAUUCCACGG